Molecule: non-coding RNA, 73 nt
Organism: Odobenus rosmarus divergens (Pacific walrus)
Lineage: Eukaryota; Metazoa; Chordata; Mammalia; Carnivora; Odobenidae
Source: the annotation of a RefSeq genome assembly
GCCUGGUUGGCUCAGUCGGUAGAGCGUGCAACUCUUGAUCUCAGGAUUGUGAGUUCAAGCCCCACAUUGGGCA